Gossypium raimondii (Peruvian cotton) is the source of this 178-nucleotide long non-coding RNA. RefSeq lists it as uncharacterized. NCBI's taxonomy places the organism in Eukaryota, Viridiplantae, Streptophyta, Magnoliopsida, Malvales, Malvaceae. The record is from RefSeq and is a predicted model, not a curated record. The transcript is spliced from 2 exons.
CUAAUUUAAUAAAAGAAAUAAAAGAUAGAAAAAGAGAAAUGGAAACAGAACAGGCAAACGAAAACAGGGGAGAAAGGAAAGAAAAAAAAAAAGGGAAGGAAAGAAAGAAAAUUUGGGGUUUCAAGGUUUCAAGCUCAAUUGCUAAUGUCGUGCAAGAGUCAUUGCCGAGAAAGGAAAG